RNAcentral lists this ribosomal RNA (253 nucleotides) under uncultured bacterium. Its description in RNAcentral is "partial 16S ribosomal RNA". It matches the Rfam family "Bacterial small subunit ribosomal RNA", at positions 524 to 776 of the family's 1533-position model. The record is from RNAcentral.
UACGUAGGGGGCAAGCGUUGUCCGGAAUUACUGGGUGUAAAGCGCGUGUAGGCGGGAGGCCAAGUCUGCGGUGAAAUCGCUCGGCUCAACUGGGCGGGGUCCGUGGAAACUGGUCACCUGGAGGACGGUAGAGGCGAGUGGAAUUCCCGGUGUAGUGGUGAAAUGCGUAGAGAUCGGGAGGAACACCAGUGGCGAAGGCGGCUCGCUGGGACGGUACUGACGCUAAGGCGCGAAAGCGUGGGGAGCAAACAGG